This 491-nucleotide ribosomal RNA is filed under the name uncultured bacterium. Its description in RNAcentral is "partial 16S ribosomal RNA". It matches the Rfam family "Bacterial small subunit ribosomal RNA", at positions 29 to 506 of the family's 1533-position model. The record is from RNAcentral.
AGUGAACGCUGGCGGUAGGCCUAACACAUGCAAGUCGAACGGCAGCACAGUAAGAGCUUGCUCUUACGGGUGGCGAGUGGCGGACGGGUGAGGAAUACAUCGGAAUCUACUUUUUCGUGGGGGAUAACGUAGGGAAACUUACGCUAAUACCGCAUACGACCUACGGGUGAAAGCAGGGGAUCUUCGGACCUUGCGCGAUUGAAUGAGCCGAUGUCGGAUUAGCUAGUUGGCGGGGUAAAGGCCCACCAAGGCGACGAUCCGUAGCUGGUCUGAGAGGAUGAUCAGCCACACUGGAAAUGAGACACGGUCCAGACUCCGACGGGAGGCAGCAGUGGGGAAUAUUGGACAAUGGGCGCAAGCCUGAUCCAGCCAUACCGCGUGGGUGAAGAAGGCCUUCGGGUUGUAAAGCCCUUUUGUUGGGAAAGAAAAGCAGCAGGUUAAUACCCCGCUGUUCUGACGGUACCCAAAGAAUAAGCACCGGCGAACUGCGU